GACGAACGCUGGCGGCGUGCUUAACACAUGCAAGUCGAACGAUGAAGCUAGAGCUUGCUCUGGUGGAUUAGUGGCGAACGGGUGAGUAACACGUGAGUAACCUGCCCCGAACUCUGGGAUAACUGCUGGAAACGGUAGCUAAUACUGGAUACGACCAACGAAGGCAUCGCCAGGGGGUGGAAAGAAUUUCGGUCAAGGAUGGACUCGCGGCCUAUCAGCUAGUUGGUGAGGUAACGGCUGACCAAGGCGACGACGGGUAGCCGGCCUGAGAGGGUGACCGGCCACACUGGGACUGAGACACGGCCCAGACUCCUACGGGAGGCAGCAGUGGGGAAUAUUGGGCAAUGGAGGAAACUCUGACCCAGCGACGCCGCGUGAGGGAUGAAGGCCUUCGGGUUGUAAACCUCUUUCAGCAGGGAAUAAGCGAAAGUGAAGGUACCUGCAGAAGAAGCACCGGCUAACUAUGUGCCAGCAGCCGCCUAA
Molecule: ribosomal RNA, 483 nt
Filed under: uncultured bacterium
Lineage: Bacteria
Description: partial 16S ribosomal RNA
Rfam family: Bacterial small subunit ribosomal RNA
Source: RNAcentral